RNAcentral lists this ribosomal RNA (252 nucleotides) under uncultured bacterium. Its description in RNAcentral is "partial 16S ribosomal RNA". It matches the Rfam family "Bacterial small subunit ribosomal RNA", at positions 524 to 776 of the family's 1533-position model. The record is from RNAcentral.
UACGUAGGUCCCGAGCGUUGUCCGGAUUUAUUGGGCGUAAAGCGAGCGCAGGUGGUUUAUUAAGUCUGGUGUAAAAGGCAGUGGCUCAACCAUUGUAUGCAUUGGAAACUGGUAGACUUGAGUGCAGGAGAGGAGAGUGGAAUUCCAUGUGUAGCGGUGAAAUGCGUAGAUAUAUGGAGGAACACCGGUGGCGAAAGCGGCUCUCUGGCCUGUAACUGACACUGAGGCUCGAAAGCGGGGAGAGCAAACAGG